CAUUCUGAUUGGUCUGAGAAUCUCCAUUCACCCCUUCCUCCUAAGGGGUGAAUGGAGAUUCUCAGACCAAUCAGAAUG
Podarcis lilfordi (Lilford's wall lizard) is the source of this 78-nucleotide non-coding RNA. The record is from the annotation of a GenBank genome assembly. NCBI's taxonomy places the organism in Eukaryota, Metazoa, Chordata, Lepidosauria, Squamata, Lacertidae.